CGUACCCCAAACCGACACAGGUGGUUAGGUAGAGAAUACCAAGGCGCUUGAGAGAACUCGGGUGAAGGAACUAGGCAAAAUGGCACCGUAACUUCGGGAGAAGGUGCGCCGGUGAGGGUGAAGCAUUUACUGCGUAAGCCCAUGCCGGUCGAAGAUACCAGGCCGCUGCGACUGUUUAUUAAAAACACAGCACUCUGCAAACACGAAAGUGGACGUAUAGGGUGUGACGCCUGCCCGGUGCCGGAAGGUUAAUUGAUGGGGUUAGCGCAAGCGAAGCUCUUGAUCGAAGCCCCGGUAAACGGCGGCCGUAACUAUAACGGUCCUAAGGUAGCGAAAUUCCUUGUCGGGUAAGUUCCGACCUGCACGAAUGGCGUAACGAUGGCGGCGCUGUCUCCACCCGAGACUCAGUGAAAUUGAAAUCGCUGUGAAGAUGCAGUGUAUCCGCGGCUAGACGGAAAGACCCCGUGAACCUUUACUAUAGCUUUGCACUGGACUUUGAGCUUGCUUGUGUAGGAUAGGUGGGAGGCUUUGAAGUGGGGACGCCAGUUCUCAUGGAGCCAUCCUUGAAAUACCACCCUGGCAACCUUGAGGUUCUAACUCUGGUCCGUUAUCCGGAUCGAGGACAGUGUAUGGUGGGUAGUUUGACUGGGGCGGUCUCCUCCCAAAGAGUAACGGAGGAGUACGAAGGUGCGCUCAGACCGGUCGGAAAUCGGUCGUAGAGUAUAAAGGCAAAAGCGCGCUUGACUGCGAGACAGACACGUCGAGCAGGUACGAAAGUAGGUCUUAGUGAUCCGGUGGUUCUGUAUGGAAGGGCCAUCGCUCAACGGAUAAAAGGUACUCCGGGGAUAACAGGCUGAUACCGCCCAAGAGUUCAUAUCGACGGCGGUGUUUGGCACCUCGAUGUCGGCUCAUCACAUCCUGGGGCUGAAGCCGGUCCCAAGGGUAUGGCUGUUCGCCAUUUAAAGUGGUACGCGAGCUGGGUUUAGAACGUCGUGAGACAGUUCGGUCCCUAUCUGCCGUGGACGUUUGAGAUUUGAGAGGGGCUGACCUUAGUACGAGAGGACCGGGUUGGACGAACCUCUGGUGUUCCGGUUGUCACGCCAGUGGCAUUGCCGGGUAGCUAUGUUCGGAAAAGAUAACCGCUGAAAGCAUCUAAGCGGGAAACUUGCCUCAAGAUGAGAUCUCACUGGGAACUUGAUUCCCCUAAAGGGCCGUCGAAGACUACGACGUUGAUAGGCAGGGUGUGUAAGCGCUGUGAGGCGUUGAGCUAACCUGUACUAAUUGCCCGUGAGGCUUGACC
This 1300-nucleotide ribosomal RNA is filed under the name Ectopseudomonas oleovorans. RNAcentral's name for it is "bacterial LSU rRNA". It matches the Rfam family "Bacterial large subunit ribosomal RNA", at positions 1643 to 2925 of the family's 2925-position model. Lineage: Bacteria; Pseudomonadati; Pseudomonadota; Gammaproteobacteria; Pseudomonadales; Pseudomonadaceae. The record is from RNAcentral.